This 643-nucleotide long non-coding RNA is filed under the name Cyanistes caeruleus (blue tit). RNAcentral's name for it is "lncRNA (ENSCCEG00000003234.1)". The record is from RNAcentral. Lineage: Eukaryota; Metazoa; Chordata; Aves; Passeriformes; Paridae.
ACUGGGAAUAUAGGAAUAUAAUGGAAUAUAAUUUCUAUUGCAGAGGCUCCAUGUGACACUGAGAUACACAUUUCCUCUGUGACACACAAGAAACAAUUACAGCUGCCUGUGCUCCAAUUCCCUUUCUGGAAAUGGGGUUGUCUGGUGUUCACUGUUCUACUCAUGGCUCAUAAGGACCAGUACCACUAGUAUUCAGGUCCUUGCCCAGGCCUGGCUAAUCCAGCCCUCAGGAGAGGGACAUCCCAGCACAUCGUGGCAGCUAGUAGGCUGUGUUGAACCAGCCUCCACUCCACGAAAAGAGAGCCUGUAUCAUGCUCAGUGCUCCCGGGGCUGGCCUGAGGAAAGAGUGAGGAAUAGGCCUGGUGUCACUUGUUGUUCUCCAUGGAAUAACAGAUAAUACCAGGGAGAAGUAGAAACUGGAAGGACACCUACAAAUCUGAAGCUUCCCACCCCAGCAUCCCAAAUCUACCCUUAGCAACAUGAACAUCAGCCGGAGAUUUUUGUGCUGUGGCACUGACAAGGUAUGCAAUAGCUUAGGAUAAUUUUGGUGCCUCUGCAAACCAGCUGCCCCAAGUGUUUGUCUGUUUUGUCAAUGUUUAGUGUGAGUCAUAUCUUCUAUUAGGGGGAAGGGAAGGGAAGGGAA